RNAcentral lists this small RNA (619 nucleotides) under Microascus murinus. RNAcentral describes it as "eukaryotic LSU rRNA". The stretch from base 225 to 378 matches the Rfam family "5.8S ribosomal RNA". The record is from RNAcentral. Lineage: Eukaryota; Fungi; Ascomycota; Sordariomycetes; Microascales; Microascaceae.
GUAACAAGGUCUCCGUUGGUGAACCAGCGGAGGGAUCAUUACCGAAGUACUCUUCAUACCCUACUGUGAACCUUACCAUGUCAUUGCAGCGUUGCCUCGGCGCGAGGUCAGGUGGGAGGGGGGGCCCUGCGGCCGCCCCUUUUUACCCAGGCCCCGCCGGCAUCGCCCAACUCUUCAUUUGCAAAGCGGACUGUAUAUUUCUGAUUGUCUUGAAAACAAGUUAAAACUUUCAACAACGGAUCUCUUGGCUCUGGCAUCGAUGAAGAACGCAGCGAAAUGCGAUAAGUAAUGCGAAUUGCAGAAUUCAGUGAAUCAUCGAAUCUUUGAACGCACAUUGCGCCCGGCAGCAAUCUGCCGGGCAUGCCUGUCCGAGCGUCAUUUCUGCCCUCGAGCGCGGUUCGGCCCCCUAGCGGGCCGCGCCGCCGCCCGGUGUUGGGGAUCUGCGGGUUCCGCCCGCAGGCCCUGAAAAGAAGUGGCGGCCCCGCCGCGGCGCCCCCUGCGUAGUAGUAAGACACCUCGCAUCGGGACCCGGCGGAGGCCAGCCGUCGAACCCAUCUCCUUGAGAAUGUUUGACCUCGGAUCAGGUAGGGAUACCCGCUGAACUUAAGCAUAUCAAUAA